UACGUAGGGGGCAAGCGUUAUCCGGAUUUACUGGGUGUAAAGGGAGCGCAGACGGCAUGGCAAGUCUGGAGUGAAAUGUCAGGGCUCAACCCUGAAACUGCUCUGGAAACUGUCAGGCUAGAGUGUCGGAGGGGUAAGCGGAAUUCCUGGUGUAGCGGUGAAAUGCGUAGAUAUCAGGAGGAACACCGGCGGCGAAGGCGGCUUACUGGACGAUAACUGACGUUGAGGCUCGAAAGCGUGGGGAGCAAAC
RNAcentral lists this ribosomal RNA (250 nucleotides) under uncultured prokaryote. Its description in RNAcentral is "partial 16S ribosomal RNA". It matches the Rfam family "Bacterial small subunit ribosomal RNA", at positions 524 to 773 of the family's 1533-position model. The record is from RNAcentral.